Polistes canadensis is the source of this 754-nucleotide long non-coding RNA. RefSeq lists it as uncharacterized. NCBI's taxonomy places the organism in Eukaryota, Metazoa, Arthropoda, Insecta, Hymenoptera, Vespidae. The record is from RefSeq and is a predicted model, not a curated record. The transcript has 3 exons.
GAAUUCAUUAUUAUAUAUAGAUUUCAAAUAAAUAAUAUAUCAAUCUCUCGUUGCAAACUAGAGAUUUAAUUGAUUUAAUAUUUCAAAAAUAUUUAUCACAUUUGUUUAUUUUUGUCUUUAAAUAUUAAAUUAAAAAUUAUCCAUAUAGAUGUAUCAUUAAACUAACAAUCUUUGAAUUGGUUAAAUUCAACGAUGUUAUUAACUAGUAUGACGCAUACAUUUCUUCGUUGAUGUAUUUGUAAGAGAAAGAGAAAGAGAGAGAAAGGGAGAGGCAUCCUUAGCACAUAUUGCCUUUGACAUAAUAUCGUUAUUUCAGAGAAGCUGAUUAAGAAGCGCUCGGUUUACGAUGUUUGCGGAACAUGUCAGUCUUCCUCUGGUCUCACCAAUAUGCGCAUGCACGCUGAAACUACGUGGGAGGAGCUGAAACAGAGUUCGAGCAGCUACCAAGGGAACUUCUCUCUGACGCCCCUCUCUUUAUAUACAAUUCAGGAUAGCUAUGUAUUUACUACGUACGUGUGUGUGAACUGCAUCAACCUAGGAUAUUCUAAAGAAGAAACGAACGCCUUCCCGAUCGUUUAAUAUUUGCACCAAUGAAAAUUCGACGAUGGAUUAAAAAUCAUAGAAGAUAUUUUAUAUUCGGCUUGAAAUCACAAUUUGUUGGAUUUCGUAGAAAAUUUUCCGAGGAAAUCUCGCAUGGGAAAAUUUCGUUUAUACGAGCUUACCUUCUUCUUCUCAAAAAAAAAAAAAAAAAAAA